This 256-nucleotide ribosomal RNA is filed under the name uncultured bacterium. Its description in RNAcentral is "partial 16S ribosomal RNA". It matches the Rfam family "Bacterial small subunit ribosomal RNA", at positions 524 to 777 of the family's 1533-position model. The record is from RNAcentral.
GACGAACCGUGCGAACGUUAUUCGGAAUCACUGGGCUUAAAGCGCGUGUAGGCGGAUGGGAACGUCGGACGUUGAAAGCCCCCGGCUCAACCGGGGAAGUGGCGCCGAAACGACCCGUCUGGAGGAACGUAGGGGGGAGCUGGAACUUCCGGUGGAGCGGUGAAAUGCGUUGAGAUCGGAAGGAACGCCCGUGGCGAAAGCGAGCUCCUGGACGUUAUCUGACGCUGAGACGCGAAAGCCAGGGGAGCGAACGGGA